GUAAAAUUUUUUGGCCUUUAAUGAAAAGUGUAGGAAGGAGGAUACCAAGAAGGCCAAGAAAAAUUUCCCAAAUUGAAGUCUAUAAAUUAAUCCCUUGGACUUCCCUCCACCACUGAAUUCUGCGUGCAGAUCAGCAUGGACAAAGAACAUCGAGAGCUCCAGCUGUCUCUUGGGUUCUUUGGAAUCUUGAAAGAAUCCUUCAAGAUCGUAUUUUCAUGCAGAAAAACCUUUAGCCAGAUAACCCUAAUUCUUAUUCUUGCUCUCUCCUUAAUCGCUCCAAUCCAGCUCUUUGAUCUCCUUAUUUUACGAAAACACAGCUCAGAUUGCCCAAAACAAACUAGUUAUCUUAAAUGCAUCCAAGACAACUGCAAAGCAAUAAAUGAUUCCUCUCAAUCCUAUGUUUCCCUUGCAUGCACCCAAGAGAAGUGCCAUACACAAACUGAUUUCUCUGAUCUCCUUAAAUGCAUAGAGCCCUCCCUGUCCCAUAAGAUCAUCUCCUCUCUCUUACAUUUCAUCUCCUACACUCUCCUUCUAAUCGUUACAGUUUUCACUGCUUCUGCGGUUGCUUAUGCUGUUGCAGGCAUACAAAUUUCGGAGUCAAUCACCUUCAAGAAGGUGAAGACUGCAGUGCCAAAUGUUUGGAAGAGACUUAAGCUCACUAAUAAGUGCAGUUCUGCCAUUAUUUCCUUGUAUAAUAUGAUCUUUGCAGCAGGAGUAAUCAUCUUGUUGGUGCUCAAUAAUCAUCAUAAUGCAUCAUCUGCGAUUCUAGCGAUUUUUAUUGCGCUUCUCUGGAUUUUAUUUUUUAUUGGGUUUUCUUAUAUUGCCAUUUUUUCGUAUUUGGCUACUGUGGUUUCUGUUUUAGAGGAAAUUUAUGGGAUGAAAGCUAUGUUCAAGAGCAAGAAGUUGAUAAAGGGCAAGAUUGGAGUUACUGUUGCUCUUCUUAUUAUGUGGGGAAUUUGUUUUUUUAUAAUUGUAAUGCUUCUUGUGGUAUGUGUGCUAACGGAUGGGGUGUUGCUUAGAAUUGGAAUCGGAAUCCUUUGCUUCUUGCUGAUGUCGGUGCUGAUAAUAUUUGGGCUUGUAAAUCAAACAAUUCUCUACUUUGUGUGCAAAUCCCAUCAUCAGGAGAACAUUGACAUGUCCUCUUUAGCGGCCCACCUUGAGACUUAUCUUGUAGAGGGUACUUCAGAAGCAGCUGAUUACGCAAUGGAGCAAAUUCAAAGCGUAAUAACUAAUUAGAACUUUUUUCUAUCAAUUUCUGCAUAGAGAUACGCACUAUAGGUUGUCAAUAGUUUGUAUGACAUAUAUGAAAUUGCUUUCUUGUUAAUUUUAUGAUGUUAAGUGAUGCAUAGCUUUCAUGUAUUUUGCUUAUUAAUAUAUAAACGUUGUUUUUUU
RNAcentral lists this unclassified non-coding RNA (1392 nucleotides) under Hevea brasiliensis (rubber tree). The record is from RNAcentral. Lineage: Eukaryota; Viridiplantae; Streptophyta; Magnoliopsida; Malpighiales; Euphorbiaceae.